This 1489-nucleotide ribosomal RNA is filed under the name Lactiplantibacillus pentosus. RNAcentral describes it as "bacterial SSU rRNA". It matches the Rfam family "Bacterial small subunit ribosomal RNA". The record is from RNAcentral. Lineage: Bacteria; Bacillati; Bacillota; Bacilli; Lactobacillales; Lactobacillaceae.
GACGAACGCUGGCGGCGUGCCUAAUACAUGCAAGUCGAACGAACUCUGGUAUUGAUUGGUGCUUGCAUCAUGAUUUACAUUUGAGUGAGUGGCGAACUGGUGAGUAACACGUGGGAAACCUGCCCAGAAGCGGGGGAUAACACCUGGAAACAGAUGCUAAUACCGCAUAACAACUUGGACCGCAUGGUCCGAGUUUGAAAGAUGGCUUCGGCUAUCACUUUUGGAUGGUCCCGCGGCGUAUUAGCUAGAUGGUGGGGUAACGGCUCACCAUGGCAAUGAUACGUAGCCGACCUGAGAGGGUAAUCGGCCACAUUGGGACUGAGACACGGCCCAAACUCCUACGGGAGGCAGCAGUAGGGAAUCUUCCACAAUGGACGAAAGUCUGAUGGAGCAACGCCGCGUGAGUGAAGAAGGGUUUCGGCUCGUAAAACUCUGUUGUUAAAGAAGAACAUAUCUGAGAGUAACUGUUCAGGUAUUGACGGUAUUUAACCAGAAAGCCACGGCUAACUACGUGCCAGCAGCCGCGGUAAUACGUAGGUGGCAAGCGUUGUCCGGAUUUAUUGGGCGUAAAGCGAGCGCAGGCGGUUUUUUAAGUCUGAUGUGAAAGCCUUCGGCUCAACCGAAGAAGUGCAUCGGAAACUGGGAAACUUGAGUGCAGAAGAGGACAGUGGAACUCCAUGUGUAGCGGUGAAAUGCGUAGAUAUAUGGAAGAACACCAGUGGCGAAGGCGGCUGUCUGGUCUGUAACUGACGCUGAGGCUCGAAUGUAUGGGUAGCAAACAGGAUUAGAUACCCUGGUAGUCCAUACCGUAAACGAUGAAUGCUAAGUGUUGGAGGGUUUCCGCCCUUCAGUGCUGCAGCUAACGCAUUAAGCAUUCCGCCUGGGGAGUACGGCCGCAAGGCUGAAACUCAAAGGAAUUGACGGGGGCCCGCACAAGCGGUGGAGCAUGUGGUUUAAUUCGAAGCUACGCGAAGAACCUUACCAGGUCUUGACAUACUAUGCAAAUCUAAGAGAUUAGACGUUCCCUUCGGGGACAUGGAUACAGGUGGUGCAUGGUUGUCGUCAGCUCGUGUCGUGAGAUGUUGGGUUAAGUCCCGCAACGAGCGCAACCCUUAUUAUCAGUUGCCAGCAUUAAGUUGGGCACUCUGGUGAGACUGCCGGUGACAAACCGGAGGAAGGUGGGGAUGACGUCAAAUCAUCAUGCCCCUUAUGACCUGGGCUACACACGUGCUACAAUGGAUGGUACAACGAGUUGCGAACUCGCGAGAGUAAGCUAAUCUCUUAAAGCCAUUCUCAGUUCGGAUUGUAGGCUGCAACUCGCCUACAUGAAGUCGGAAUCGCUAGUAAUCGCGGAUCAGCAUGCCGCGGUGAAUACGUUCCCGGGCCUUGUACACACCGCCCGUCACACCAUGAGAGUUUGUAACACCCAAAGUCGGUGGGGUAACCUUUUAGGAACCAGCCGCCUAAGGUGGGACAGAUGAUUAGGGUG